This 299-nucleotide long non-coding RNA is filed under the name Lathyrus oleraceus (garden pea). Its description in RNAcentral is "Pisum sativum (pea) long non-coding RNA (PSAT_LNC014425)". Lineage: Eukaryota; Viridiplantae; Streptophyta; Magnoliopsida; Fabales; Fabaceae. The record is from RNAcentral.
UUUUAUUUUGUCUGGAAAAUGACAUGCGUUAUGAUGAGAUGCAAAUGCAAUGAAAUGUGAAUGAAUGCAAUGCAAGCCAUGCAUAUUUGUGUUUUUUCUUCAAUACAUGGGUUCAAAAGUCCGAGGUACUGAUAAAUUUGAUUGCUUUUCCAAAACGGGGUUCUCACCGGGUAUGAUCUAGGGCUUUGUUGCAAAGGAUCCCCAGAGUCAUUGAUUCACAAGAAUGUUUGACGCUUACGGGAAAUACUUUCCGGUCGUCAACUCCAUCAAGGGAAUCUAUUCUGGGUGAGGUUCUCGUG